Molecule: long non-coding RNA, 2508 nt
Organism: Lycium barbarum (goji berry)
Lineage: Eukaryota; Viridiplantae; Streptophyta; Magnoliopsida; Solanales; Solanaceae
Exons: 3
Source: RefSeq, a predicted model, not a curated record
CACAAAUUGAAUAUCAACACAGGCGACAAGGUGUAUUCUUCCUAUCUGCCUAACCUCCGGGAUAAGUAAGAAGAUACACCUGGUAUUGGUAGAUCAGAUUAAUCAAGUAUAAUGCACAAAUUGACCUAACACCACCGUUAUAUAAAAUAUGUUACUACUAUGUUAGUUGCAUCAGACUUAACACAUAACAGCCAAAAAAUUUAGAAAAUAAAGGGCGUGGGAGUUCUACAUUUUCCCAACAACCACCACUAUUACAGCAGCUCAAUUAUUUGAGUCACAAGAUAAAUCGAGGGAUUUCUAAAACCCAAUAAUACAGAAAUAAUUUAGCAAAAUUGUUAGGGAUCUAACUUCAUCAGCUAAAAAACUGACAUAAUUAGACCAGCAUAACUAUGUUAUAAAAUUACACUUACAGUUUCAGAAUAACAUAUAUCAUUAGCAGAUCAGUCUCAAUAUAUGAAUAUGAUAUCAGUUCCAUAAACCUAUCCCUUUCCAUCAACUAAACUUGUUAUUCAGUUGGAUUAGAGAACAGCACUUUCAUUAUGUCGUACAGAGUUCAACAAAGAAAAUGUUCAAAACUGUAGGAAGUUGAUCUAUGCAAGCUACCGCCAGAACGAAUGCAAGAUAUGAGAAUUAAAUUAAACAGCUUGAACGACGAGCUAUAUUAGCUAAAUGGUAGAGCGUGCCUGUGUCGUUGUGCCUGGGCUGUGCGGACUCUCAACCAGAAUCGGAGCCAAAAUUCAAGGUUUUUGGAUUCGGAUCUUCAAGAUUUUAGUUCUUUUAUAUUACUGGCUCUAAAUUAAUAAUUUUAGACACUCAAUAGAUUUCAUAAGACAAAUAUAGAGUCUCGGCCAUAUGGAUAAUUCAAUGUGCUCAUCUGCGCUUGACCCUUUGACAGCAGACGAUCACUAAUCCAAUAUCUCAGUUUGGCCAAAGUUGUUAUAUCCCGUAUUUUGCAUAUUCGGAAAAAUUUGAAAUAAUUGUGACAAGUAAGAGAUAAGACAAUAUUUUGAUUUUAUUUAAUAUAUAUGUUGUUCAUGAAAAAUAUUGAUGCGGAAAUAUCGAGGAAGGCUAAGGGUAAAAUUGGAAUUUCGGAAAUUAGUUUCAUGAAUUAUAAAUAUUAACCAUAAGAAGUUGGGCUUGGAAAAUCAAAAAACAGAAAAAAAAGAGGGGGCCCAACAUGGUGGCCGGCCAUAUAGCAAUGGCCCAAGCCGAUGAAAAAUUAAAUCCAAGACAAAUAAAAGGGAAGGGGCCACUAGUUUUCUAACACAUAUUAGAACAUUCAAGAAACAAAAGAAGAGUGAGAGCAAGAAGCAAGAAAAUUCGGCCAAGCUAGAAAAUAAAUAAAUUUGAAGCUUCCAAUCUUUGAUCCAAAAAUUUAUUUCUUCUUGAAUCCCUACUAAGUUCAAGACCCUCUUCAACGUGGUAUAAUUAUUUAACCAAGAAAACCACUUUAGUGGCAAGUGGAGAUUUUAGAAAAGAUAUUGGAGAGCCCGUGACUUGAGUCGGGAUUUGGUUAGCAAGGGAUCGAGGUGCAGACGUUCGUUCUGGUGACCCGCCAGUGUAGGACACUUAUUCUGCUAUUUGGAGUACUCCUUUGAUCCGGAGCUCAUAUUUUGGUACAUAUCUUUUGUCAUACAUAUUUCUGUAUAUAUGACUAUUUGAGGGUACGGCGGGGCCCUGUCCUGUCAUAUGUUCUGUUAUGGUUUGUAGAGGCCUGUAGAUAUAUGUGUGGGUCAUGGGUCAUGUUUGUUCGAUUAUGUUUGUGAUUUGUGCCUUAAGCGGUCCCGUUUGCUAUUAUGGCUAAAACGGCCCACCUGUUUGUAUAUGUGUGUAUAUUCGGGCGAUGUGUAUUCCGCCAGCCUGCCGGCUUUUGGUAUGAUAUUUUUGUUACGGGUGACCGCUUAAGAUGACGUCUGUUUCUCAGUAUUCGUAUAAAUAACGUAUGUUAAAUUUGAAUAAGUCUUUGAUAUGUCGAUCUGGUAAUCAAGUCUGUAUGAGUGUCUAGUUAGGGCACUAGUCACGGCCCACGGGGCUGGGUCGUGACAAAAGUCAUCCUAUUCGCUUUUAUAUUAAGACUGUUUCUUGUUCUGGCCGCUCAGGUUUUCAAUUACCUGCAACUGCCUUUAUAUAACACAAACAUCACAAUGACAAAAAACACAGAAGGAUACCUGGGAAGACAAUAAAUGGAAGCCAUGGAGUAUAGCAAACUCAGUCAAAAUCCCUGUUACAUUGGCAAUCAGAGGAAAUCGUAAAGAAAACAACUACAGCGCAAAAAGUUUUAGGCUUCUAUUAACUAGUAUAGGAAAUUGCAUAAGCCUUUUCAAGGCCAACUGAAACAACUCAUGGGAGCAAAAUGUGCAGACAGGAGGACUUACUCGACAAACAGGAAUGUGCACAAGGGGAUUUACUUGACAAAUCUGCUCAACUCUCACUGGUCACUUCAAAAUCUUAACCACAACACGAGUUCCUCAACAACAAUUAUAGUUGAAAAGCAUGCAGCUAUUGUCC